CCAUGGUCUAAUAGUGUUAUACAUUACACCAACUACAUAUGUGUUAUCUAAAAGGGUGUCAACAAAUGUUAAUAAUGUUGGACACUUUAGUCAAAACUUUAGAAUCAAAAAUCGCAUAGAAAAUUGAUAUAAACUCUUGAAACCAUGUAUCCUGUUUAUAGAAAGGGAAAGCAUGCAAGCAAGAAGAACAAUAUCCCUUUAAAAAAUAGCACCCCC
Molecule: long non-coding RNA, 216 nt
Filed under: Mytilus galloprovincialis (Mediterranean mussel)
Lineage: Eukaryota; Metazoa; Mollusca; Bivalvia; Mytilida; Mytilidae
Source: RNAcentral